RNAcentral lists this ribosomal RNA (549 nucleotides) under [Candida] sp. LCF-34. Its description in RNAcentral is "eukaryotic LSU rRNA". The stretch from base 153 to 306 matches the Rfam family "5.8S ribosomal RNA". Lineage: Eukaryota; Fungi; Ascomycota; Saccharomycetes; Saccharomycetales. The record is from RNAcentral.
CACACUAUGUUUUUUUAAUUUGAAACUUUUGCUUUGGUCUGGCUUAGUAAAAUAGGUUGGGCCAAAGGUUUCUACUAAACUUCAAUAUUUAUAUUGAAUUGUUAUAUUAAUUUUUAUUGUCAAUUUGUUGAUUAAAUUCAAAAAAUCUUCAAAACUUUCAACAACGGAUCUCUUGGUUCUCGCAUCGAUGAAGAACGCAGCGAAAUGCGAUAAGUAAUAUGAAUUGCAGAUUUUCGUGAAUCAUCGAAUCUUUGAACGCACAUUGCGCCCUUUGGUAUUCCAAAGGGCAUGCCUGUUUGAGCGUCAUUUCUCUCUCAAAUCUUCGGAUUUGGUUUUGAGUGAUACUCUUAGUCGGACUAGGCGUUUGCUUGAAAUGUAUUGGCAUGAGUGGUACUAGAUAGUGCUGAACUGUUUUUCAAUGUAUUAGGUUUAUCCAACUCGUUGAUAUCAGAUUGGUAUUUGUUUAAUACUUAGGCUCGGCCUUACAACAACAAACAAAGUUUGACCUCAAAUCAGGUAGGACUACCCGCUGAACUUAAGCAUAUCAAU